GAAUCUUGUUUACCUGAGGCCUUCUGAAGAAUGUAAAACAUGGGAAAAGUGACAGAGCAGAACUUGGAGAUGCUUGGUGGAAUUUGUCUUCAUUUUUUGAACAUGUGUGAGUUGUCAGUGUCCCCGCUCCAUGUGGCAGAGGUGGAGGAGCCCAAGAUUGUCAAGUGCAUCAGGGAUACUUCUGGUGAGACUGCUGCUUGCCCUAAGCACGUCCAGAGCUGUGUGACAGCAGGGUGAUCUUGUCACAGCCUGCGUAGCGCCCCACCAGCAAAAGCUUCUGGGAGGUAACUUGAAUAUCUGAGCAGAUCUGUUCUAGCCAACCCUUUGUGCUGUACCUGAACACGUAUUUAGACACGCAGAGAUGCAAGGUCACUUCUAUUGGUCUUUUGAUGACCAUGGGGUGACUCUGAACAUGCUGUCCUGGCAGCUUUGUGGCUGAGGUGAUCUCA
Molecule: long non-coding RNA, 449 nt
Organism: Lagopus leucura (white-tailed ptarmigan)
Lineage: Eukaryota; Metazoa; Chordata; Aves; Galliformes; Phasianidae
Exons: 3
Source: RefSeq, a predicted model, not a curated record